GGCGGCCGACGAUGACGAUCCUCGGCAGAUCCACCGCAUCCCCUUCCCCUUCCCCUGCUCCGUCCCCUUCACCCCUUACUCACCACAACCACAACUACCACCACAGGUUCCACAUCCACCGACCUCCGCUGGACUCAGGAGCUUCUUCAUCAUCGCUACCGUCCACCUCGUCCCCUUCCACAGUCGAAUUCAGUCCGCCGCUGAUCGCGAUGGUGGUCGUGGUAGCCGCUGCUCUGCUUGUUAUCACCUACUCCCGCCUGAUCUCCCGAUCCCUCGUCAUGCUCCUCCGCCGCUACCGCCGCCGCACCCCGCGGGCGCGCCGCCGACGCAGGCGGCGUCACUUUCCGAAUUCCGCUCCAUCGUCAACAGGGGGCGGCGAUCGACUCGACUCUCCUCUACCGUUCUUUGACUCCCCUGACGAAUUCCACCACCUCUACUACCCUAACUAUGGCCUCGACGAGUCGGUGAUCAAGACGAUCCCGAUCUCCCUCUACACCAAAUCGCUAAAGCCGCCGCAGUCGCCUGCGGCGACCAGAGAUUGCGCCGUCUGCUUGCUGGAGUUCGAACACGGUCGAGACUACGUCCGCACUCUCCCGAACUGCUCGCACGCGUUCCACGUGGACUGCAUCGACAUCUGGCUUAGGUCUCACGCCAACUGUCCACUCUGCCGCUCCCGGAUCUUCCUCCCAUCAUCCCCUCCUCCGCCGUUCGUCCCACUGAUGGCAGCUCGAAUCCGCCCCAGCUUCGUCGAGAAUCCGAAUUUCCUCCUCCCGGAUCUCGAGUUCCAACCUUCCGUAAUCCGAGAAUCCUCCGAAAUCACUCCCUGCGUCGAAGAAGACGAAGAGGAUGAGGAAAGAAUCAACGAUUUCGGUCUGGACAGCAGCAUUAGCAGAAGGAACAACAACUUCAACAACCUCUUAAAGCGGUCCUACUCGUUCGGAUUCGAGCGAUCCGAGAGAAUGACGCUGGCGACCGAGCCGGCUACAGUGUCUC
Molecule: long non-coding RNA, 993 nt
Filed under: Linum usitatissimum (flax)
Lineage: Eukaryota; Viridiplantae; Streptophyta; Magnoliopsida; Malpighiales; Linaceae
Description: long non-coding RNA (LUSI_LNC002676)
Source: RNAcentral